RNAcentral lists this ribosomal RNA (838 nucleotides) under uncultured bacterium. RNAcentral's name for it is "bacterial SSU rRNA". It matches the Rfam family "Bacterial small subunit ribosomal RNA", at positions 51 to 890 of the family's 1533-position model. The record is from RNAcentral.
ACACAUGCAAGUCGAACGAGCAAAUACAUUUGAUUUCUUCGGAAUGAAGAUGUAGGCGCGAGUGGCGGACGGGUGAGUAACGCGUGAGUAAUCUGCCUCAUACAGGAGAAUAACACUAAGAAAUUGGUGCUAAUACUCCAUAAGCUCACAUUAUGACAUCAUAGAGUGAGAAAAGAUUUAUCGGUAUGAGAGGAGCUCGCGUCUGAUUAGCUAGUUGGUGGGGUAACGGCCUACCAAGGCGACGAUCAGUAGCCGACCUGAGAGGGUGAUCGGCCACAUUGGAACUGAGACACGGUCCAAACUCCUACGGGAGGCAGCAGUGGGGAAUAUUGCACAAUGGGGGAAACCCUGAUGCAGCAACGCCGCGUGAAGGAAGAAGUAUUUCGGUAUGUAAACUUCUAUCGACAGGGAAGAAACAAAUGACGGUACCUGAAUAAGAAGCACCGGCUAAAUACGUGCCAGCAGCCGCGGUAAUACGUAUGGUGCAAGCGUUAUCCGGAUUUACUGGGUGUAAAGGGUGAGUAGGCGGUCAUGCAAGUCAUAUGUGAAAUGUCAGGGCUUAACCUUGGCGCUGCAUAAGAAACUGUAUGACUAGAGUGCAGGAGAGGUAAGCGGAAUUCCUAGUGUAGCGGUGAAAUGCGUAGAUAUUAGGAAGAACACCGGUGGCGAAGGCGGCUUACUGGACUGUUACUGACGCUGAGUCACGAAAGCGUGGGGAGCAAACAGGAUUAGAUACCCUGGUAGUCCACGCCGUAAACGAUGAGUGCUAGGUGUUGGCCAGAGAUGGUCGGUGCCGCAGCAAACGCAAUAAGCACUCCACCUGGGGAGUACGACCGCA